Molecule: unclassified non-coding RNA, 329 nt
Filed under: soil metagenome
Description: partial contains 5.8S ribosomal RNA, internal transcribed spacer 2, and large subunit ribosomal RNA
Rfam family: 5.8S ribosomal RNA (bases 1-120)
Source: RNAcentral
GAUGAAGAACGCAGCGAAAUGCGAUACGUAAUGUGAAUUGCAGAAUUCAGUGAAUCAUCGAAUCUUUGAACGCACAUUGCGCCCCCUGGUAUUCCGGGGGGCAUGCCUGUCCGAGCGUCAUUACAACCCUCAAGCUCAGCUUGGUAUUGGGCCCCGCCGACCCGGCGGGCCCUAAAGUCAGUGGCGGUGCCGUCCGGCUCCGAGCGUAGUAAUUCUUCUCGCUCUGGAGGUCCGGUCGUGUGCUCGCCAGCAACCCCCAAUUUUUUUCAGGUUGACCUCGGAUCAGGUAGGGAUACCCGCUGAACUUAAGCAUAUCAAUAAGCGGAGGA